This 219-nucleotide ribosomal RNA is filed under the name uncultured bacterium. RNAcentral describes it as "partial 16S ribosomal RNA". It matches the Rfam family "Bacterial small subunit ribosomal RNA", at positions 111 to 334 of the family's 1533-position model. The record is from RNAcentral.
UAAUGUCUGGGAAACUGCCUGAUGGAGGGGGAUAACUACUGGAAACGGUAGCUAAUACCGCAUAACGUCGCAAGACCAAAUGGGGGACCUUCGGGCCUCAUGCCAUCAGAUGUGCCCAGAUGGGAUUAGCUAGUAGGUGGGGUAAUGGCUCACCUAGGCGACGAUCCCUAGCUGGUCUGAGAGGAUGACCAGCCACACUGGAACUGAGACACGGUCCAG